This 476-nucleotide ribosomal RNA is filed under the name uncultured bacterium. Its description in RNAcentral is "partial 16S ribosomal RNA". It matches the Rfam family "Bacterial small subunit ribosomal RNA", at positions 29 to 523 of the family's 1533-position model. The record is from RNAcentral.
AACAAACGCUGGCGGCGUGCCUAAUACAUGCAAGUCGAACGGGGAAAGCUUUCGGGUGAGUACUAGUGGCGCACGGGUGAGGAACGCGUGGGUAAUUUUCCUUGAAGUGGGGGAUAACUAGUCGAAAGAUUAGCUAAUACCGCAUAAGACCACGAAAUCUGAGGAUUUUGAGGUAAAAGGUUUUUCGCUUCAAGAUAAGCCCGCGUAAGAUUAGCUAGUUGGUGAGGUAUGGCUCACCAAGGCGACGAUCUUUAGCUGGUCUGAGAGGAUGAUCAGCCACACUGGAACUUAGACACGGUCCAGACUCCUACGGGAGGCAGCAGUAGGGAAUAUUGCACAAUGGAGGAAACUCUGAUGCAGCGACGCCGCGUGAGUGAUGAAGGACUUCGGUUCGUAAAGCUCUGUCGCAUGGGAAUAAUAAAUGAAGGUACCAUGCAAGAAAGGAUCGGCUAACUUCGUGCCAGCAGCCGCCGUAA